This is a non-coding RNA of Odocoileus virginianus texanus, 1226 nucleotides long. The record is from RefSeq and is a predicted model, not a curated record. Lineage: Eukaryota; Metazoa; Chordata; Mammalia; Artiodactyla; Cervidae.
UCUUCCCAACCCAGUUAUCAAACCUGGGUCUCCCGCUUUGCAGGGUCUGGAGGUAAGUCAUUCUACUGCUAGCCUUGAAGAAGUAAGAAGUAAGAGUUCUGCAGCCACAAAGAAGUGAAUUCUUCCAACAACCAUGUAUACUUCAAAGAGGACCCCAAGCCUCAGGCGAGACCCCAGCCCUGAACUGGCACUUUGAUUGUAGUUUUGUGAGACCCUGGAGCAGAGAACUCAGUUUUAACUAAGGGACAUACUUGAGCUGGCUUUUGUGGAGGGGGUGUUCCUGGAUAUGGGGGCACGCUUGGAUACAAGGAAGAAGCACCAGGCAACUUGGGAGCUGUGGGAGUUCUGAAGCCAAAAGCCAGUCUUUUUCACUGGGCUAAAGUCAUGGUGUCAGCAAGGCUGGUUUCUUCCAGAAGCUGCCCACCUUCCUUGGCUGUGGCUACAUCACAUGGUCCCCGCUGCUGGUACCACAGGGCCUGCUUCUCUUUGACCUUCUUGCUGCCUCCUUCUAAGGCCCCUUGUGAUUACAUGUAGGGUCCACGUGGAUAAUCCAGGCUGAUCUCCCCGUCUUAAGAUCCUAAUCACAUGUGUAGAUCUCUUUUGCCGCAUAAGGUAAUAUUCACAGGCUCUGGGGCUUAGGAGGUGAAUAUUUUCAGGGGAAGAGAGGAUUCUUUAACACUGGGAGCCAUAUUCUUUGUUCUUGAAUUGGAAGCAGUUGACACACAGCUGUUGUUGGCUGGGGACUUGGGAAUUUAGGGAGGAGGGCUAGGACAAGUAACCCUCACUAGUCCUCAGUCUCUGAAAAACGAGAUAACCUGGGGUGUUUGUUGGGAAGAAGGCAAGACAUCUUUUCUCUCUCUGCCAUAAUAAAUGUCAUCCAAGUUGAAUUAACAUUGUAUUGUUUCUUUGGGCAGCGAACUGAAUGUAAAAAGAAGUUAUAUUAAUCCAGCAAGUCAAAGGGAAGUGUCUGUUUUAAGGCCCAACCUUCAUAAGAUAAAAUGUUCAGUUAGCUAGAGUGAAGAGGAUAAAUAAGAUUUAAUGUCUUCAACAUUAGCAGUAAGUUUUUGCUGUUUAAAGUUUGAAAAGUUCCUGAGUCUUUAUUCUAAAUUCCAAUCUUUGGUUUUAACUGUGUCAUUCAACUGCAUGGAAACCCAAAAUAAUGUUAGCAGAAAAGCAUGAGAACAAAGAAGGCUGAUUUUUUCACAGGCAGUGCGCCCAGAUGAAGA